Long non-coding RNA from Engraulis encrasicolus (European anchovy), 779 nucleotides. RefSeq lists it as uncharacterized. The transcript is spliced from 8 exons. NCBI's taxonomy places the organism in Eukaryota, Metazoa, Chordata, Actinopteri, Clupeiformes, Engraulidae. The record is from RefSeq and is a predicted model, not a curated record.
GUGUGACGUCACAUCCUGCUGCCUGCCACUAGUGUCACACGUGAAAUCCUACUCACACACACACACAUUGCGCUGCCUGCUAGCGUCGUCUCGCGUCUGUUUCCUCGCCUGCUCCUGGGAGAGGCAUGGAUUGGAAUGAUCUUGGGGCCAUGAAACGGACAUGGAUGGAGGCUGCAGUGAUGACCGAAGUGUGUGUGACAGCAGCAUGCGCCUAGCCGCAGCAGGCAGCACGAGACGUCAUUGGGCAGCAGUGAGCAGCAGCGCAGCAAGUUGUGCCUGGUCGCAGCAAGUCGCGCCUGGUCGCAGCAUUUGGCAUCCUGAGAAGGUAACGGAUGACAGACACAGGACUGACGUGAAGACCUGAGGAUGUGCGUGACGAGAUGGACCCGGCUGAGUCCAGCUGCACACACGGAUACAAUUGAUAAGCUCUUGAGGAAGGCCUGGAAUAACCUUGGAGGUGGCAGAGAUGACUGGAGAGCUCAGAGUGUCAGGUAAAACAAACAUCAUCUCCAGCCUCUAUGCAUCGAAAGAUAAGGGAGGAAAAGGCCAUCUUGCUCUCAGCUGUGGAAAAGUGUAACAACAAGAAGAAUGAUUGACAGCAUCCUGAAACAUGGGUGGUGUGCUACGUAUCCAUGUUUUCUGGAAACACUGUACAUGUGGUAGAAGAUGGCUGUCGUCGUGGGUGCUGAACAAAAAUAAAAUCCACUAUGCUUUGUUUUUAGUUUGCCGCUUCAUGGUUAACUAUUUUACUCUUUAAAAAAAUAAAGCAACACAGACAC